This 223-nucleotide ribosomal RNA is filed under the name uncultured bacterium. RNAcentral's name for it is "partial 16S ribosomal RNA". It matches the Rfam family "Bacterial small subunit ribosomal RNA", at positions 328 to 539 of the family's 1533-position model. The record is from RNAcentral.
ACGCUCGACACCUACGGGAGCAGCAGUAGGGAAUCUUCCACAAUGGGCGCAAGCCUGAUGGAGCAACACCGCGUGAGUGAAGAAGGGUUUCGGCUCGUAAAGCUCUGUUGUUGGAGAAGAACGUGCGUGAGAGUAACUGUUCACGCAGUGACGGUAUCCAACCAGAAAGUCACGGCUAACUACGUGCCAGCAGCCGGCGGUAAUCUGAGCGGGCUGGCAAGGC